AACGUCCUGUGCAGUGAGGACUGACUAUUUAAAAGUCUCAUCAGCUGCAGUGGAAUCUGAAUCUGGACCCAAAAGAAAGCACCAUGUCAUCACGGCCAAUCAGAAUCAUUGCUGCGGAUCAAACUACCAGCUUCAAAGGUGGGAGUUAUCAAGACCCCAGAAGAACCAGCACGACUCUGGACCUGGUCAGUGGUUGCUGUGAGCAAAUCUACAACACUGAUGUUGACUUUCCUUCAUCCAAACCCUGGAAGGGAGAACUAAGUGUGUCUAAGUCAAAGUUUCUUCAUCCGUCUGAAGUGUUCAGGAUGAUUUAGGCCCUGAAUAUCUGUAUAUACCUGAAUAUAUUCUGCGAUUCUUAUUUUUGACUGGCCAAAAUAAAUCUUAAACUAGCUCACACAGGAGAGCAAAUGAAACAUUUGCUCUCCUCUGGCAGUGCCUACAAAGACCAUCGAGACCACACGUGGAGAAAUGUAUCCACCGUUUACGAGUAUACUGAGGAUGUCCCUCCUCCUCCUCCUUCUCUACGGCUUUGUGUGUUCUCUGGACAUCCUUAGCUCUGCUUUCCAGCUGGCUGGGGAUGCUUUUAUCCAAAGCGACUUACAGUGCACAGUCCCCCGGAGCAACCUGGAGUUAAGUGCCUUGCUCAAGGACACAAUGGUGGUGGCUAUUGGGAUCGAACCAGCAACCUUCUGAUUACCAGUUAUGUGCUUUAGCCCACUACACCACCACCACUUAUCACACCAAGUUGACAGAAAGGAGUGUAAUUUCUCUUGUUUGUUUGCUUCUGUGUGUUUUGUUUUGAUAGGUAAAGUUGCUGGAGGCAUUUUUCAGUAUAAUGCCAUCUUGUCUAACCCAGCGGCAAGGCUCAUGGUGGGGAUACUUUUGACAGUUCUGGUCCAGAGCUCCAGUACAUCCACAUCCAUCAUAGUCAGCUUGGUUUCUUCUGGAUUCCUCCGUGAAUGUGACAGCGACUGCCGCCCAGAACUGCACCACAGAAGCGCAUUGUGUGAAAGACAUGCACCUGCCUGCUAUUGAUCGUCAAAGUCCUGAACUCUCUACUCAAAGGUCAAGUUGCAAAGGCCAUUGAAGGGGUCAUCAACACUAGUAGGUCACCCCAGGACUGGUGCAGGGAGAGCCGGUGGCUCUGUGGGAUGUUGAAAAAAAUUGUGUAAUCCAUACCAUUUUAAUUUAUUGUAAUCUGAUUACAAUAAAUU
Long non-coding RNA from Xyrauchen texanus (razorback sucker), 1214 nucleotides. RefSeq lists it as uncharacterized. The record is from RefSeq and is a predicted model, not a curated record. NCBI's taxonomy places the organism in Eukaryota, Metazoa, Chordata, Actinopteri, Cypriniformes, Catostomidae. The transcript is spliced from 5 exons.